UACUCAAGAAUCGUAAAAUUGCUUUUUUUUAUAUGUGUCGGUUUCAGGAGAGCAUGAAAUCCGACAUAAUCGAAAGCUAUCUAGAUUUGUGCAUAUAUACACGAUGGGGACAGUUGAGCUGAAUUGGGUUGGAACUAACGUGUGUGCUGUAUUUGGUGGCCUGUCGAUCCUGUCAUCUGCCGUUAAUUAUAUCUUCUUGUUCAGUUCAGCUGUUCUGUGCCUUCAUGCCUCUGCUGUUCUGUCUCAUAGAAACAAUAUUAGCUGCUCUGCUACUAGCUGCUCUAUUUUAUUUAUUUUGGGAACAUCUUCAUUUUUUUAAUUUUAAAACUAAACUGACCCGAAUUUAUUUUCAUAUGUAGACCGCCCAUUUUCAGACCUGAAAAUAAAUUUUAGUAAAGUUUAGUUUUAGAAUUAAAAAUCAGAAGGAUCACAAUUUUUUUUUAAAAAAAACUACUAAUGCCAGCUAGCUCUGUUGGAUUGCCUACGCUAACUACUUGAUCAAUUGAGCCUUUUUGUUCUUGCCUUUUCUCAAUCUCAGAUUAAUGAAAGGUUUCUAAACCUUAGCAUCGCCUCAACUUUUAGUUUCAGGUGUUAUUGUAAUUACCGUCUAUUCUGAUCUGCAGGCUCUCCAGGUCUCCUUUUAUGGCAUUAAUUUUCUUUUUAUUUAAAGUAAAUGUUAGAAAAUGUAAUAAAUGUAUGUACUGAUUAUAAAGUAUGAUCCACAGAAUAUAUACUACCAAAUAUAAUUUCAGCGGUUGACAAUUUUCUUAUGUAUAAAUAUAUUAUAUAUGUGAGCUGUAUAGACACCAACUUGCAGCAAGCUUGCAAGCACUCAUCAAAUUGCUCAAAUUGCAUGCAUCCUUAACUUUGGUUACAAGUCAACAACUUACACAGAGUGAAGGCAAGCAAAUUAAUUUAUUGAGCCUGUACACAAGAAUGCAUCAUUCAUCGAAUUAAUGACCUACUAAUGUACCUAUACAUUAACUCCAGCAUCAUCAUGCCAGCAACCACCUUAAUUAAGCUGCAUGCAUGCAUGAUCAUCAAGAGCUUAAUUAACCAGACCAAAUUAAUUAAAACCAAAAUAAGCAAUGCAACUCUUUCUAUGAAUUCAUAAAUUUAUCUGUUCUUUUUUUUUUGAAGAACAUCAGAUACCAUAAACUGUAUAUAUAACAUGUUUCAUACAUUUGCAUGAACAUCAUAUUGAUCAUCUUCUUCAUCGCGCCGAAGAAUCUCUUUUGGAUCUCGCGCGACAACCAAAGAAGCAUCAAAAGCUAAAAUUAAUCAAAUCAAUCAAAGCAGGUUAAUUGAUCGAAAGAACUAAUUAACAACAUGCAAUUGCAAGCACGCAUGUACCGAGUAAUUAACUAAAGUUGAUGGUGUUGAUUAAGUUGAUCUCCAUGAUCGAUCAGCAGCAGCAGCUAGUAGGCGUAGAGCUGCGCGAGCUCCCUCAUGGCGGCGUCGUCGUCGUCGCCGUCGCCGCCGGCGCGGAGGUCGACGGCGUUGUCCAGCAUCCACAGCAGGUGGUCGAACAGCACGACCUCACAGUUGACGGCGAUCGGCUUCGUCGUCGUCGUCGUCGUCGAUGUCGCCGUCGCAGCCGNNN
Molecule: long non-coding RNA, 1603 nt
Filed under: Oryza brachyantha (malo sina)
Lineage: Eukaryota; Viridiplantae; Streptophyta; Magnoliopsida; Poales; Poaceae
Description: long non-coding RNA (OBRA_LNC003342)
Source: RNAcentral